GUUUUAUUCUUGCUUGAUAAAUUUACUUUUGAUUAAUUUUAUAUGUAUAUUUUUGUUUAAUUUAAUCUAAAAGAUUAAUUUGUAACAAUAUUUUUCAGUAAUAAAUAUUAAUAAUUGGAGAUAUUCUUAUUUAGUUAUAUUAUAAGGAUUGAUAAAGUAUGUGCCAGCAUUCGCGGUUAUACAUAAAAUUCAAGUGAAUUAAAUUAGUUAAUUAGUUAUUAUUAAUUGUAAAUAUAAUUUUAGGGUUUUAAGGUGAAAUUUAAAGUUUUGUGAAGUGUUUGUUAAUAAGAGGCUAUGAAAUCCGUUUCAAUAGACUAGGAUUAGAUACCCUAUUAUUAUGGAUGUAAAGUAAGUAAACUUGAGUAGUAUUUGUUAUGGUCUUGAAACUUAAAGAAUUUGGCGGUAUUUUAGUCUAUUUAGAGGAAUCUGUCCCGUAAUCGAUAAUCCACGUUGAACCUUACUUGAUAAAUUAGCAUGUAUAUCUCCGUUGUUGAAAAUCUUUUUAGGGUAAUUUCUUGAAUUUUUAUUAACAAAAAUUUCAGGUCAAGGUGCAGUUUAUGAUUGAGUGGAGAUGGAUUACAAUAUUUCUAGAUAUAUGAAUAAUUAAUUGUAAUGAAUAAUUUGAAGGUGGAUUUAAUAGUAAAUUUGUGAAGAUUAUUAAGUUGAUUAUAGCUCUAAGAUGUGCACACAUCGCCCGUCACUCUCGUUAAUUAAGAUGAGAUAAGUCGUAACAAAGUAGGUGUACCGGAAGGUGUAGCUAGAAUGU
This 766-nucleotide non-coding RNA is filed under the name Nauphoeta cinerea (gray cockroach). The record is from RNAcentral. Lineage: Eukaryota; Metazoa; Arthropoda; Insecta; Blattodea; Blaberidae.